Molecule: small nuclear RNA, 103 nt
Organism: Jaculus jaculus (lesser Egyptian jerboa)
Lineage: Eukaryota; Metazoa; Chordata; Mammalia; Rodentia; Dipodidae
Source: Ensembl
GUGCUCGCUUCGGCAGCACAUAAACUAAAAUUGGAACGAUACAGAGAAUAUUAGCGUGGCCCCUGCACAUGACAUAGAAGUUCGUGAAGCAUCCCAUAUUUUU